Non-coding RNA from Schistosoma rodhaini, 45 nucleotides. NCBI's taxonomy places the organism in Eukaryota, Metazoa, Platyhelminthes, Trematoda, Strigeidida, Schistosomatidae. The record is from Rfam.
AUACAGCUGACAAGUCCCAAACAGGACGAAUCGCGUGUCCUGGAU